Long non-coding RNA from Felis catus (domestic cat), 2663 nucleotides. RefSeq lists it as uncharacterized. The transcript is spliced from 2 exons. Lineage: Eukaryota; Metazoa; Chordata; Mammalia; Carnivora; Felidae. The record is from RefSeq and is a predicted model, not a curated record.
UCUGCCCCUGCCCCCCCCCACACAGACACACUCUCUCUCUCUCUCAAAAAUAAACAUUAAAAAAACUUUUUUUAAAAAGAAUUCAAAAUCAAACGUGAAAGUGGAUGUUAUAGAGAAUGAAAAAAAUUGCUUACAAAUUUUAAAAGUUGGUGGAUACUAUAAACCUCACAAAAUCCAGAAAGAUAACAGAUUUUAAUUAACCACUUGACACGCCUCUAUGUGUCAGGCAGCUAAUAGAAAAAUAACAUUGGCUGCUACGUUUGAUUGCUUCUUAUGAGAAUUUCAUAGCACUAUUUUGCUGGCUAUGAAGAUCAUGCCAUCUUUCCUCCUGCGCGGUUGGUUGAAAUUUGGUUUUUUGGUGGUUUGGAUGCAUAGACGUGUGACCACACACAGAUGUCUCUGCUGUUUGUAGUGAAUGCUGAUAAACUUUAUUUCACGUGCUCCUAUCAAAAAGGGGAAAGUAAGGCCCAUGUUUAGCUGCUUCUGCUAUGCGAGGAGGACGCUCUCGACAGAAUUCCAUCUGUCCCGUUACGGAUGGAAACUGAAUCCUCUGAUGGGAGUUUUCCUGAUUGAAAGGAUUUUCUAGGGCACCGGGUGGCUCAGUUGGUUAAGCGUCCGACUCCGGUCUCAGCACAGAUCACUGUCUCCCAGCUCGUGGGAUCGAGCCGCGCAUCGGGAUCUGCGCUGACAGCAGAGAAUCCCAAGUGGAUUCUCUCUCUCGCUUUCUCUCUCUCUCUGCCUCUUCCCAGCUCGCUCUCUCUGUCGCUGUCUCAAAAUAAAUAAAAGAAAGAAAGGAUUUCCCCCCGAGUAGCUUCUGUUCCAUGCACUUCAAAACCUGCCCUCACCCACAGCGACUCUGUGCCAAAUCCCUCCGGACCUGGCCGCGUCACGUGUUUGUGGCCACACCGCAUGUUCACAGCUAGGCCACGCGUUCCUGGCCACGUGACAUCAGCACAGCAAUGUCCGCAAUCUCAUGGUGUCCAUACCACGGGAUCCCCUCUGUCGCCACCUGCACAUCAGAGUGCCUGGCGAUUCCGCUCGGUGGAAAGCAGGAGUGUGCCCGGAAGCCGGUCCACACCAGACAGCACCGACCAGGGAAGUCACUGUGAACCCCCAACCACAUCCCACCAAACCCAAACUAAGCGUACCCCUAGGGCGGGUCCCGACGUGCUCCCAACCACUCCAGCGCCUGUGAGAGACGAGCUGGGGUGGAAAGAGGCUGUGGUCUGAAGCUAUUGUAUUCAAAUGUCUCACUUUUGCAAAUUUGACACCUUGUGACCACAAGUGGGGAUCCCUAGCUGGAUCCCCACCUGGCCCUGGAUCCCCAGGGAGGGGCCUGAAGCUUGUCCCUGUGGCCCCAUAGGAGCUCCCCCCCACUGGGCAGGAGUUAAGUGUCCCCGCUUAGUGAUUGGCCUUCGCGGUGGCCAAGUGCGUCGACGCGCUAAAAGCCACCGCACUUCCCCACGACGUUGACCUAAGUCUAACCGGGACCUGCAGGCGGGAGCGAGCGACACCACUGACGAGUGACAGCAGGCAAGAUCGCCCACCCAAAAAGCGAGUGUGGGUUGAUGGCAUCCAGUCCUCGGUUGGCAAAAAUCGCUGCCCGUGUUUUCCCCACAAGUCUGGAGAACCCACAAAACGGUCAGUCGUCUCCAGCAUGUUUCUUUACUUGAGGAUGUUCCCUCGACCCGUCAGAAGUCAGCAUGGACUUCAGCCCGUCUCCCCGAAACCCCAGAGAACGUGCAGCUGAGACCCGGCCGGCGCGUGUGCUCGUCACGUGCUUCCUCGUGGUGAAACUUGCAGGAGAGGCCGGCGUUCCCAGCGCACUUGCUGCAAAUGUCGAGUACUGGUCGAGUUCUGUGAUAGCCGGACAGCGCCGUGAGGGCAUCGCGGCCUCGGGGGUUCUUCCGUGUCUGCUCUGCUGUCUGAGGACCCCCUCCUCCCUAACGCGAGGUGCCAGAGCCCCAGCCGCCUCUGACAGCUCCUCUCACUGCCCCGUCCCCAGAUGCGCGGCACCCCGACGCAGGGGUGUAACACCACAUCCUAUUCUUAACAGAAAUGCGUACCUAAGACCAGGGAAGACAGAGCUCCCCCCGCGGGGUCACGGUGCCUUCAUGACAGACGCUUCCUCCAACAUCGUGAGCCGCUUCUUUGCAUGGUGCCCUGGAAAUUCGUGCGUCUCUGGGCCAAGGUAGCCAGACUCUAUUCCUUGUUGGCUUUGAUGGCCCAAGCUGCCAGGUCCUGAUUUCCUUCAUGAAGACAUCCAAGUGGCAAGAAACCAAAGGUGACCUCCAGCCAAAAGCCAACAAGGAGCCGAGACCCUCAGUCCAUCUGCCCACCAGGAACUGAAUCCCGACAACAACCAUGUGAACCAGGAAACAGAUCCGUCCCCAGUCGAGCCGUCAAAUGAGACCGCAGUCCUAGCGGGCCCAGUCAAGUCAUGUCUGGAUUCCUGACCCGCAGAGAUUGUGAGAUGAUAAAUGUGUGCUGUUUGUAGCCACUGAGUUUUGUGACGAUCUGUUAACAAAGCAACAGAUUUCCAAUACAUCUUGUCCCAGAAACAUUCCUUCAAGCAUUCCGUCAAUAUCGAUUUGCCAAGCACCAGUCUAGGUGCUCAGCAUGCAUCGGUGACCAAAACAGAGUAAAAUUCUUGCUCUUCUGAA